RNAcentral lists this ribosomal RNA (261 nucleotides) under uncultured archaeon. RNAcentral describes it as "partial 16S ribosomal RNA". It matches the Rfam family "Archaeal small subunit ribosomal RNA", at positions 748 to 1008 of the family's 1478-position model. The record is from RNAcentral.
CAGCCGUAAACGAUGUGCGUUAGGUGUAUCGACGACCACGAGUCGUCGAGGUGCCGAAGGGAAACCGUGAAACGUACCGCCUGGGAAGUACGGUCGCAAGGCUGAAACUUAAAGGAAUUGGCGGGGGAGCACCACAACAGGUGGAGCCUGCGGUUUAAUUGGACUCAACGCCGGAAAUCUCACCGGAUAGGACAGCAGAAUGAUUGCCGGGCUGAAGACUCUGCAUGACUAGCUGAGAGGUGGUGCAUGGCGUCAGUGACU